GCCAAGCCAGCCCUCACUAUGUAGUGUUCUAUUCAUUCAAAUAACUAUGCAAUAACUACUGAAAAUCGGGACCAAGUAUUGGAGAAGGAGGACCAAAAAAAAUGUUGUUUCUGUCCUCCAGGAACUUUGAAUCUCCUAGGAGAAUCUAGCAUACACAUCAAGACGUCACAGUAGGACAAAGGAAUAAGUGUUGUCAGUGACAGACAGGUAUUUUGGAAAGCUUCCUAGAGGUGACACUUGAGUUAAAUUUUAAAGGUGAACAGGAGUUAUUCUGGCAAAGGAAGAGGUGUGGAGGAAGGAGAGUAAGGAAGAGGGAACAGGUUAACAAGCUUGGGAAACCCCAAGUCGUUCUAUCAGCUGAAAUGAAGAGUUUCUCAUAGAGGCAGAACAUGAGGCCAUAGGGAUAAGCAGGGCCCAAAUGCCAAAAAGCCUGAUGUGCUGACCUGAGAGAUUCAGAGUCUUUCCCAAAAAGCGUCAUGGAAGGGUUUUUGGCAGAGAAACAUCACAAUCGAAUCUGCAUUUCAGAAAGGUUGACUCAGCAACACAGAGAUAAAGGGGUGACAGGGUGAAAAUGAGGGGACAUUGAAAAGACUUUCAACUAUCUCUGGAAUAAAUGAACUGAAAUUCUUAUCACAGUGGGAAUGGAGAGGGUAUUUAUGAGAUACUAUGGAAAAGUGCGGAGGUCAUCCACUGAUAUAGGUAACAUGAAGGUCAAAGGUUAGACUGGAAGGAGAGGAGCCAAUGAUACUUUUUGACUUCUGGAGUUCCAGGUGUCUCUUGGACACCCAGGUGAUACCUAAUAGGCUUAUGAAUAUGUGUGUGUCUGUAUUUUUCCCCAUUAUUACAGUUUGCAAGACAUAUGGACUGGAGAUACAAGUUUGAGUGCCAGGGCAGUACAGGUAGCAAGAAUGUCGAUGUAGUCACUCAGAGAAAGUGUGGGCCAGGAGGUCUGUGGACUCAGGACUGAGCUCUGAGGAGCUCCAACUUCAAGCAGUUGAAGGCUUGGAUUUGUGAACAUUCUUCCAGGAGCAGGGUGUGAAGAAAGGAGUGAGAAAAGGAGAUCAACAACAUUUAGGGGAAAACAAGGUGAACAGACGAGAAGAGAGGGACGAAACUGCAGGAGAGACCAGAACACGGUGUCAAGUCGAGGCAAGUCAGUAGCAUCAAACACUGCAGACGUCAACGAAGAUAAGGACAGGAAACUUCAUGUUAGGUUUGGCAACUAAGAGGUGGCCAGUGCGGCCAGAGUGAGGUCACUCGAGCGAUGAAAGGGUGGGUUUCCGGCUGUUGAAAUCUUUUCAACUGAAACGCAGUUUGAGCAUCUGGCUGGGAGCUGCACCCCGCGCUGCUUUCCCGAGUUCAUCAGAGUCGAGCGUUCACACUGACACACCAGAAGACUAACAGGAACUUGGCGUUUUCGAACAGAGCGCGCAGGAAUCCUGCGCAGGCGCUUCCGAAGUCG
This 1462-nucleotide long non-coding RNA is filed under the name Bos taurus (domestic cattle). Its description in RNAcentral is "long non-coding RNA NONBTAT027374". The record is from RNAcentral. Lineage: Eukaryota; Metazoa; Chordata; Mammalia; Artiodactyla; Bovidae.